GUGCUCAGUGAGCAGGGCGGGGUGGAUGCUCUGUGCCAAACUCUCACUUGUCUCCUUUCUCCUUAGGGCAUUCUUCAUUCACUAAACUUGCUACUAAGGCAGCUUUGGUGGAAGUAAUCUAUUUCCUGAAAGUGGAGGCCCCUCCUGGCUGAGCACUCAGUGUUGGAGCUUGGGGGAACUGCUGUUUGGAAGAGCAGAGUGGGAAAAGUGGCUGAGGGAUAAAGUGACCCCCAUCUUUUCAUCCUCCUCCUGUACGACUGAGCUGGCUGCAAACAAAACAUGGUGGGAGCCUCGCCAGGCAGUGGUGUUGAAUCCCCUUCAUCUGUGAAGAACAGUUCUGCUGCCAACUUCAUACCACCACCUCUUCCUCCACAGAGGAAAGACUUCUGAGCCUGCUGAGAGCUGCCUCGUUGUGUGGGAUGGUGGCAGGGAUGUAACUACAGAGGAGCCCCUAUGCUCAUCUCCUCCCCACAGCUCUGCAGAAGUGUUCUCAAUCGCUUCUGACAGGGAGUUGGCAUUUGCCACACCAGAGAAGAUCUGGAGAUGGUUUGGUUGCAUCUGGCUGUGCUGUGCCCUGCAUCAGCCUCCAGAGAGCCUGUGUGAUGGGACAGGAGACCUUCCAGCUGGAGAAGUCAGACACUGUUCAAACUUGACCCAGAUUCUGAGACCUUGGUCUCAUCCCUGUGCCACCUCUUGUCUGAGCUGAGGCAUCCUCCCAUGGAGAAAGGAGCUGCAAAAUCACUGGUCAAUCUGUUCUCCUUCAUGCCUUGUCUAUCCUUGCUAAGAGAGGGGGUGAGACACUCCCCCCCACAAGUCAUGACUUAGGUAAACUACAGGAUCAUUUUCUUCCAGUGGCUUUAAAAAAAGGAAGGUUUUACCUUCCUUUGCUUCAGCCUUUCAGUAACCCUUUGAGAUCCUACAUGUGUUUGUGACCAUCCCUGAGCCCCAAGCUGGAAUUUUUAAAGCACUACCAGCAUCAACCCCAAGCGAAAUAAUAGAUGAGAUGAGAGCAGAAGGAAGCACCAUAUGCUCAGAGUAGAGAGCUGCAUGUGCAGGUAAGCUCUGAACAAUUUCUGAUUUUAUACUUUGCCAGUGUAUUAUUUAUGCCCUUGGAACACGGUGUACAUCUGCUUGGUCAGCCUUGAAAGUGGCCUGACUUUAGCAAUUGAGACAAGCAGACCAAGGCAUUUCCAAAUUCUUGGUCAUAUUUGAGAACUCCCUUAGUUUCUGGCUGGGUUAUGUGGAUGAUGUGCUAGGAAGAAAGAGGAAGUGUUGGUUUGAGCUGUUAGAUUGCAAGUUUUUCAGAGUGGCCUUGUAACCUCCUGGAUAUGGAGUCAGCCAUGUGUCAGGCACUGCUGCUGGUAACAGCAAUGUAAUCCAGCCCUGGGAUUAUGCUGUGUACAUCCCCUGCUUCUUUUGUGGUUUUGAAUUUCCCUAAAAAUGUUUUUUUUUCGUAAACUUUGGUAAUGAAGAUGAAAUCCCCCUUUGUUGCAUUUUUGUUCCUUUUUAUAGAUAAGCUAUUGUCUCACCGAAAAAAUA
Molecule: long non-coding RNA, 1539 nt
Organism: Parus major (Great Tit)
Lineage: Eukaryota; Metazoa; Chordata; Aves; Passeriformes; Paridae
Exons: 6
Source: RefSeq, a predicted model, not a curated record